This 253-nucleotide ribosomal RNA is filed under the name uncultured bacterium. Its description in RNAcentral is "partial 16S ribosomal RNA". It matches the Rfam family "Bacterial small subunit ribosomal RNA", at positions 524 to 776 of the family's 1533-position model. The record is from RNAcentral.
UACGAAGGGGGCUAGCGUUGUUCGGAAUUACUGGGCGUAAAGCGCGCGCAGGCGGUCUUCCAAGUCAGUGGUGAAAGCCCGGAGCUCAACUCCGGAACUGCCAUUGAAACUGUUGGACUUGAGUACGAGAGAGGUGAGUGGAAUUCCCAGUGUAGAGGUGAAAUUCGUAGAUAUUGGGAAGAACACCGGUGGCGAAGGCGGCUCACUGGCUCGUAACUGACGCGCAGGCGCGACAGCGUGGGGAUCAAACAGG